UCCGGCUUAUCACCGGCAGUCCCACUAGAGUGCCCAACUGAAUGAUGGCAACUAAUGGCAAGGGUUGCGCUCGUUGCGGGACUUAACCCAACAUCUCACGGCACGAGCUGACGACAGCCAUGCAGCACCUUGCUAUCUGCCCGAAGGAAACCCCCUUUCAGGGGCUGUCAGAUAGCAUUCGAGCCUGGGUAAGGUUCUUCGCAUUGCAUCGAAUUAAGCCACAUGCUCCACCACUUGUGCGGGCCCCCGUCAAUUCCUUUGAGUUUCAUUCUUGCGAACGUACUCCCCAGGUGGCAUGCUUACUGCGUUAACUGCGUCACUGCCCCCGAAGGGGCAACAACUAGCAUGCAUCGUUUACAGCGUGGACUAC
RNAcentral lists this unclassified non-coding RNA (370 nucleotides) under uncultured bacterium. Its description in RNAcentral is "contains 16S-23S intergenic spacer region". The record is from RNAcentral.